GGCGGCCUUGCGGAUCACCGAUACCGCCGCCCGGUCCAGCCGGACCCCCGUGCGACUGACACAGAAGCCAACCCGCCAUUGCUGGCGAUGGCAAAAGAGAUCGUCGCGGUACCCGUGGUGCGGACCCGCGGCUUGCCC
RNAcentral lists this transfer RNA (138 nucleotides) under Sulfitobacter sp. EE-36. Its description in RNAcentral is "tRNA-Trp". The record is from RNAcentral. Lineage: Bacteria; Pseudomonadati; Pseudomonadota; Alphaproteobacteria; Rhodobacterales; Roseobacteraceae.